Molecule: ribosomal RNA, 429 nt
Filed under: Gemmatimonadota bacterium
Lineage: Bacteria; Pseudomonadati; Gemmatimonadota
Description: Gemmatimonadetes bacterium partial 16S ribosomal RNA
Rfam family: Bacterial small subunit ribosomal RNA
Source: RNAcentral
UAGGGAAUCUUCGGCAAUGGACGAAAGUCUGACCGAGCAACGCCGCGUGAGUGAAGAAGGUUUUCGGAUCGUAAAACUCUGUUGUUAGAGAAGAACAAGGACGUUAGUAACUGAACGUCCCCUGACGGUAUCUAACCAGAAAGCCACGGCUAACUACGUGCCAGCAGCCGCGGUAAUACGUAGGUGGCAAGCGUUGUCCGGAUUUAUUGGGCGUAAAGCGAGCGCAGGCGGUUUCUUAAGUCUGAUGUGAAAGCCCCCGGCUCAACCGGGGAGGGUCAUUGGAAACUGGGAGACUUGAGUGCAGAAGAGGAGAGUGGAAUUCCAUGUGUAGCGGUGAAAUGCGUAGAUAUAUGGAGGAACACCAGUGGCGAAGUCGGCUCUCUAGUCUGUAACUGUCGCUGAGGCUAGAAAGCGUGGGGAGCAAACAGG